Molecule: ribosomal RNA, 301 nt
Filed under: uncultured bacterium
Lineage: Bacteria
Description: partial 16S ribosomal RNA
Rfam family: Bacterial small subunit ribosomal RNA
Source: RNAcentral
CAGCAGCCGCGGUAAUACGUAGGUGGCAAGCGUUGUCCGGAAUUAUUGGGCGUAAAGGGCUCGCAGGCGGUUUCCUAAGUCUGAUGUGAAAGCCCCCGGCUCAACCGGGGAGGGUCAUUGGAAACUGGGAAACUUGAGUGCAGAAGAGGAGAGUGGAAUUCCACGUGUAGCGGUGAAAUGCGUAGAGAUGUGGAGGAACACCAGUGGCGAAGGCGACUCUCUGGUCUGUAACUGACGCUGAGGAGCGAAAGCGUGGGGAGCGAACAGGAUUAGAUACCCCUGUAGUCCCUGUCUCUUAUAC